GCUCAACCUUUUUAUAAGUGCUCCUUGACCACUCAUGCUUUUGUUGACCUUCCUCUCUCUGAACUCCUAGCCCAGAACAUGGAUUAGCACUGGGUUCUUUUCUUUCUGGGGGAGUUUGCCAUUUGUUUUGUGAGAAUUCUCAUCUUGGCUCCUCCAGUUUCUUGAGGAUCACUGAAGGUGGAGACCCUAGUCCAUUCCUCCUCCAUCUGAAAGGGCUUCCCGGCAACUGACAACACUUGCUGUGGGAUUCACAGGCAGGGGUAAAAGUUUCUAUCAAGGUACUAAAUAAGGGACCAUUUGUGACCCCUGCUGGAGACGUGUGUGGAAAGGACUGUCUGGUGGCCUGGCAUUUCUGGAACUGUCUGGUCUGCUUCUUAAAGAUGGUCUUCUUUCACUCAGCACAACCUGUUGGUUGCAGAUCUGGUCAGGAUGGAACUGGCAAGUGCCAAGGGGCGCUGAAUUACCACAAAUGAUUAUGCUCCAUGUAGAAACAACAGGCUAAGAGAGUCUCCUGAGAAAGGCUGUGCUAUGAGAUAACCAGCCCCACUUGGAGAAGAUUUGGAAAAAUACAAACAAAAAAAAACCUUUCCAAGUGCAUAUCUGGACCAAACACCUGAAUGACUGUAGGUAAAUCCUUUACUAAAUGAAACUACUCAAGCCUGGAUAUGAAUGAUAGCAUAUACUCCAAGGAGCAUCCACUCUUGAAUGGUUAUACUUCUGAAGAAGCUAUUUAAGAUAAAAACCAUUAAAGUCACAGGACAAAGGACUAUUCCUCUGAGUUAAAUAGCUGCAUCCUCUGGAGGGAGAAUUCCACUUCCUCUGCCAACCAGGAGCUCUGCCGGCAGCUGUAUUUGAGAAGAACAUGCCUAUCAACUCGUGAUGCAUGGCCUUUCUUCUGUUCUCCAAAUAGAGAGUCUAUUUUGUUGGUACUGAUAUCCGCCAUUAACAAAACUUGGCUUAGUUUCAAAAAUGUAGCUCCUCUAUGAAUUCUUGAACUUAACAAAGCAAUGAUUCUCUAUUUUUGUGUUAAUAGUAUGUUUGCCCAAAUUUAAUGGAUCACCUUUUCAUUUUUAUGUAAUUUUCUCCUUUAUUGCAUUUCUGUUCAGGGCCUUCCAACUGAAAUUAGUCACAUCUUAUGGUCCAGGUUGGUUGGGCACAACUAAACCUACAUAAAUCUCAGUUGGGUCCCCCACAUGAGGUCUGAGAAAAUAUUUUAGGAGAUAGGGUUGUGGGCCUUUGUACAUCUGUGCUCAGUGACAUUUAAAUCAGCUGAUAAUUUCAAUUUUGGAAACUACUGUUCAUUAACAUGAAACAAAAGCAAUUACAUUUUUGGAUAUCUCUACUUAUGCUCAUGAUUUUCACAAAUGUUUAUGAAGAGUGGCAUGAUUUAAAAAUACCAUAAAAUUGGCCAUAUUAAAGAAAUUUUGCAUUUGCU
Molecule: long non-coding RNA, 1435 nt
Organism: Acinonyx jubatus (cheetah)
Lineage: Eukaryota; Metazoa; Chordata; Mammalia; Carnivora; Felidae
Exons: 3
Source: RefSeq, a predicted model, not a curated record